CAGGCUUAACACAUGCAAGUCGAGGGGCAUCAGGAAGAAAGCUUGCUUUCUUUGCUGGCGACCGGCGCACGGGUGAGUAACACGUAUCCAACCUGCCCUUUACUCGGGGAUAGCCUUUCGAAAGAAAGAUUAAUACCCGAUAGCAUAAUGAUUCCGCAUGGUUUCAUUAUUAAAGGAUUCCGGUAAAGGAUGGGGAUGCGUUCCAUUAGGUUGUUGGUGAGGUAACGGCCCACCAAGCCUUCGAUGGAUAGGGGUUCUGAGAGGAAGGUCCCCCACAUUGGAACUGAGACACGGUCCAAACUCCUACGGGAGGCAGCAGUGAGGAAUAUUGGUCAAUGGGCGCUAGCCUGAACCAGCCAAGUAGCGUGAAGGAUGAAGGCUCUAUGGGUCGUAAACUUCUUUUAUAUAAGAAUAAAGUGCAGUAUGUAUACUGUUUUGUAUGUAUUAUAUGAAUAAGGAUCGGCUAACUCCGUGCCAGCAGCCGCGGUAAUACGGAGGAUCCGAGCGUUAUCCGGAUUUAUUGGGUUUAAAGGGAGCGUAGGUGGACUGGUAAGUCAGUUGUGAAAGUUUGCGGCUCAACCGUAAAAUUGCAGUUGAUACUGUCAGUCUUGAGUACAGUAGAGGUGGGCGGAAUUCGUGGUGUAGCGGUGAAAUGCUUAGAUAUCACGAAGAACUCCGAUUGCGAAGGCAGCUCACUGGACUGCAACUGACACUGAUGCUCGAAAGUGUGGGUAUCAAACAGGAUUAGAUACCCUGGUAGUCCACACAGUAAACGAUGAAUACUCGCUGUUUGCGAUAUACAGUAAGCGGCCAAGCGAAAGCAUUAAGUAUUCCACCUGGGGAGUACGCCGGCAACGGUGAAACUCAAAGGAAUUGACGGGGGCCCGCACAAGCGGAGGAACAUGUGGUUUAAUUCGAUGAUACGCGAGGAACCUUACCCGGGCUUAAAUUGCAGUGGAAUGAUGUGGAAACAUGUCAGUGAGCAAUCACCGCUGUGAAGGUGCUGCAUGGUUGUCGUCAGCUCGUGCCGUGAGGUGUCGGCUUAAGUGCCAUAACGAGCGCAACCCUUAUCUUUAGUUACUAACAGGUUAUGCUGAGGACUCUGGAGAGACUGCCGUCGUAAGAUGUGAGGAAGGUGGGGAUGACGUCAAAUCAGCACGGCCCUUACGUCCGGGGCUACACACGUGUUACAAUGGGGGGUACAGAAGGCAGCUAGCGGGUGACCGUAUGCUAAUCCCAAAAGCCUCUCUCAGUUCGGAUCGAAGUCUGCAACCCGACUUCGUGAAGCUGGAUUCGCUAGUAAUCGCGCAUCAGCCACGGCGCGGUGAAUACGUUCCCGGGCCUUGUACACACCGCCCGUCAAGCCAUGGGAGCCGGGGGUACCUGAAGUACGUAACCGCAAGGAUCGUCCUAGGGUAAAACUGGUGACUGGGGCUAAGUC
This 1441-nucleotide ribosomal RNA is filed under the name uncultured organism. RNAcentral describes it as "16S ribosomal RNA". It matches the Rfam family "Bacterial small subunit ribosomal RNA". The record is from RNAcentral.